ACGCAUCCUGCCGAGUGGUCGUGCUGAUAACGUGUUAUAAAAUAACCUGGAAUAUAUGCGGAUAUUGAGCUGCACAUAAAAUAGAUGAGACACAGCUUUUAACGAGGUUCGGCUAUGCCUACGUCCUCGGAGAGCAGCAGCAGUAACCUUUCACUAUAAAAUGAUAUGGCUACAACUUUAGUGUUUACAACAUAUGUGGCUCACUGAAUUUUCUCUCUAGGAGAAUUUCUCUCUGCUUUCUCUUCUCUCUUUUCUUUUUCUUAUUUUCUUAUUUUUUCUUUCUCUGAUGGUGGUCUUAUUUAUAGGCUGAAAUAAUCACUAUUCACUAUUCACCCGUGACAGACAAACUCUACCAAAGUCUCUAAAUGAAUAGUAAUGUCACUAUUCACCCGUGACAGACAAACUCUACCAAAGUCUCCAAAUGAAUAGUAAUGAAUAGUUAGUGGGCUGCACACCAAGACUUUUACAACACUCCCCCUUGGAGACCACAUGUCCCUAGAUUGGUUGACUCAUUAAAACCUGGCUUGGAAAAACCCAGUGGGAAAAUCUAAGCGAAGGAAAAAGAGUACAACGUGCAUAUGUCCUAUGUUAGAGGACUCUUGAAUGCUCCCCCUGAUUUUGCAUGCUCCAACUUGAUUGCUUGCAGAGUUGUCGUAAUCCGAUGCCAUGCACUAACUUUUGGAAUGUACAUUUCGGCAAUGAUUUAGUGAAGAGAUCUGCCAGGUUAUCACUUGAGCGGAUUUGUCUGACUUUGAUUUCUUGACUCUUCUGGAGCUCAUGUGUAUAGAAAAACUUUGGUGAUAUGUGUUUGGUCCUGUCACCCUUGAUAUAUCCUCCUGUGAUCUGAGCAAUACAAGCUGCAUUGUCCUCAUUCAGAAUUGUUAGAGUGUCUGUUGUUGAGGGUAGGGCACAUGUGCUUCGGAUGUGAUGGAUUACCGACCUUAACCAAACGCAUUCACGACUGGCUUCAUGGAGGGCAAGUAUUUCUGAGUGAUUGGAAGAUGUGGCCACUAAUGUUUGUUUUGUUGAGCGCCAUGAGAUCGCAAUUCCUCCACAUGUAAAUACAUACCCAGUCUGUGAUCGUCCUUGAUGUGGAUCAGAGAGAUAUCCUGCAUCAGCAUAACCAAUAAUACUCUGGGCGUUGGUCGAUUCACUGGAAUAGAAUAACCCCAUGUCUGUUGUCCCACGAAGGUAUCGUAGAACAUGUUUGAUGCCGGUCCAGUGUCGCCUUGUUGGAGCAGAACUGUACCUUGCUAACAGAUUUACUGAGAAUGAUAUGUCUGGUCUGGUACAUUGUGCUAGGUACAAUAAAGCACCUAUUGCACUAAGAUAUGGUACUUCUGGACCAAGGACCAUUUCAUCAUUCCCUUUUGGACGAUAUGGGUCUUUCUUAGUGUCAAGCGAUCGAACGACCAUUGGAGUGCUAAGUGGAUGGGCUUUAUCCAUGCCAAACCGUUUCAAUACUUUCUCAGUAUAAGUUGAUUGAUGCACCAAAAUUCCAUUAGCACUGUGUUCAAUCUGCAAGCCAAGACAAUAUUUUGUCUUUCCAAGGUCCUUCAUCUCAAACUCACGUUUGAGAUAAUCAACAGUCUUUUGAAGCUCUGCAGAAGUUCCAAUUAGAUUCAUGUCGUUGACAUAUACUGCCACUAUCGCAAAUCCAGACUUUGAUUUCUUAAUAAACACACAUGGGCAAACAGGAUCAUUUGUGUAUCCUUCCUUCAGUAAAUACUCACUGAGACGAUUGUACCACAUUCGUCCAGAUUGUUUUAGCCCAUAUAAUGAUCUUCUCAAUUUAACUGAGAACAUGCCCCGUGGUUUGUUUCUGGCUGCUUCAGGCAACCUGAAUCCUUCUGGAACUUUCAUGUAUAUAUCUGUAUCCAAUUCUCCAUACAAAUAUGCGGUAAUGACAUCCAUGAGUCUCAUUUCAAGUUUUUCUGAAACCGCCAAACUUAUUAGGUAACGGAAUGUAAUUGUGUCCAUUACUGGAGAGUAUGUUUCCACAUAAUCAAUUCCAGGCCUUUGUGAAAAACCUUGCGCAACGAGUCGCGCUUUAUACCUUGAGAUCUCAUUUUUCUCAUUGCGCUUUCUUGUAAAUACCCACUUGUAACCUACAGGGUUCACAUUGGGUGGAGUUGGACUAAUAUGUCCAAAAACACUCCUCUUUUCCAAAGAAUUUAAUUCUGCCUGGAUUGCAUCCUUCCACUUGGGCCAAUCUUGCCUCUGUGUACUCAUUAAUAGAGCGCGGUUCAAUAUCAUCAUCUUUUAUGAUUUCAGCAGCCACUGAGAAUGCAAAUAUAUCAUCGAUGAUCAUCUCAUUUCUACUCCACAAUUCAUUAGUGGACGUAUAAUUUAUGGAGAUUUCUUGACUUUCAGGUACGGUUGCCACUCCAGGGGCACUUGUCUCACCAAUGACGUUUUCCUUAUCAAGAAGUACCUGUCCCUCUUUGGGGGCAUUUGAAUUAUGAAUUGUGGGCUCUCUAUUUAUUUCAUUUGGAUUCAUUUUGUCCAUCAACUUCCUCUUUCGAGGAACUGAAUCCUUUGAGCCUAGUGGUCUGCCACGUUUUAGGCGUGCAGCAGAUGAACCAUUUGCUGGCACAGUGCUUUGUCCAUUAUGGACAUCAAUCCGUGCGGGUGCAUUUGCAGCUGGGAUAUGAGAUUUCGUCACCUUUGCUGCAUCAUUAAAUGCAUCUGGCAUCUGAUUUGCAAUACUUUGGAGGUGAACGAUCCUUCUCACUUCGUUUUCGCAUUGAGCAGUAUGAGGAUCGAGAUGAGACAAUAUGGAUACAUUCCAGGAUAAUUCAUGUCGUUUUUCAGGAAUGAGUUUGCCUUGUUCUUUAGACACAGAUUUUUCUCCCCCUAAUGGUGGGAAGAUUGUCUCAUCAAAAUCACAAUCCGCAAAUCGUGCGGUAAAAAUAUCACCCGUCAGGGGUUCCAAGUAUCUGAUGAUAGAUGGUGAAUAAACACCAACAUAAAUUCCCAAUCUGCGUUGAGGGCCCAUCUUAGUACGUUGCGAUAGUGCAAUAGGCACAUAUACCGCACACCCAAAAAUUCUUAAAUGUGAAAUGUUUGGUUGAUUUCCCAAUACGAGUUGUAUUGGAGAAACUUGAUUAUUGGCGACGGGCCUCAAUCGCACAAGCGAUGCUGCAUGUAAAAUGGCAUAUCCCCAAGCAGAAACUGGCAACUUUGUUUUCAUUAGCAAAGUGCGUGUUAUCAAUUGAAGGCGUUUAAUUAAAGCUUCUGCCAAGCCAUUUUGAGUAUGCACAUGGGGAACAGGAUGUUCAAUAUCAAUGCCUAGUGACAUGCAGUAGUCAUCAAAAGUCUGAGAUGUAAAUUCACCAGCAUUAUCGAGUCUGAUUGACUUAAUGGGAUAAUCUGGGAAUUGAGCUCGUAAUUUAAUUAUCUAAGCCAAAAGCCUAGUAAAUGUCAUAUUCCGAGUAGAUAAAAGACAAACAUGUGACCAUCGGGUAGAUGCGUCCACCAAGACCAUAAAGUACCGAAAUGGUCCACAUGGGGGAUGAAUGGGUCCACAAAUGUCCCCUUGAAUUCUCUGCAAAAAUGAUGGAGACUCAACAUCAACCUUUGGUUGUGAUGGUUUGAUCACCAACUUCCCUUGUGAACAAUCUUGGCAAAAGAUGUCGCUUGAUAACAUAAUGUGUUUAGUCAACAAGGGAUGUCCUUUAGAGUUGGUGAUGAUCCUGCGCAUCAUGGUGGAUCCAGGAUGACCCAAUCUGUCAUGUCAAAGCUUAAAAGCAUUUGAGUCAGUAGACUCUUGGUCCAUGACACUAUGUGCCUCAAUUGUCCGUAUGGUUGUGUAAUACAACCCUGAUGAGAGCUCACAAAGCUUUUCCAGUAUACGCUUUUGGGUAUCACUGGAGGUAAUACAAAGAUAUUCCAUGUGUUCCUCUUUCUUUGUUUCAACAUGGUAGCCAUUCAAACGUAUAUCUUUGAAACUCAACAGAUUCCUUCUGGAGUUAGAUGAAUAUAAAGCAUCUGGAAUGGACAAUAUUGUUCCAUUCGGUAACAUAAUAUGGGCUAUUCCUGAACCUUCGAUCAGAUCUGCAGGACCUGAUAUGGUUGUUACCUUUGCUUUUGUAAGUAUUAAUUUUGAGAAAUACUUCCAAUCUAGAAGAAUCGUAUGAGUAGUUGCGCCGCCUGCGAGACAAAUAUCUCUGCCAUAGCCUUUGUUUUGAGGGCAUCCAUAAUUUACAUCCAUGCCACCAAAUAAGUAAAAUGAGCUGGAAUACUAAAGAAGACAACAUUACCACUUUUAUUUAAACAACACUUCAGCUAAUACAAAUAGAUCCACUAACUAUUCAUUACUAUUCAUUUGGAGACUUUGGUAGAGUUUGUCUGUCACGGGUGAAUAGUGACAUUACUAUUCAUUUGGAGACUUUGGUAGAGUUUGUCUGUCACGGGUGAAUAGUGAAUAGUGAUUAUUUCAGCCUAUAAAUAAGACCACCAUCAGAGAAAGAAAAAAUAAGAAAAGAAGAAAAAGAAAAGAGAGAAGAGAAAGCAGAGAGAAAUUCUCCUAGAGAGAAAAUUCAGUGAGCCACAUAUGUUGUAAACACUAAAGUUGUAGCCAUAUCAUUUUAUAGUGAAAGGUUACUGCUGCUGCUCUCCGAAGACGUAGGCAUAGCCGAACCUCGUUAAAAGCUGUGUCUCAUCUAUUUUACGUGCAGCUCAAUAUCCGCAUAUAUUCCAGGUUAUUUUAUAACACGUUAUCAGCACGACCACUCGGCAGGAUGCGUCCACCAAGACCAUAAAGUACCGAAAUGGUCCACAUAAGGAAUUUAAUCUAAUUCGGACUUAAUAAAGAAGACAACAUUACCACUUUUAUUGGAUUGAAAUUUAAACAACACUUCAGCUAAUACAAAUAGUACAUUAAGGAAUUUAAUCUAAUUUGGACUCAUAACCUUCAUUCCCUUUUUCAGUAACAAAAUCAGAAACAUCUAGAUGCGUCUUGUUUAGCUGACGUGAUAUUUCUGAUGAGCCAUCUGUGGCUGGCGGAGCAUGAUCAAUGUAAUUUAUCUCCACUUUCCUGUUCUUAAGUGAAGCUUGAUAGAGAUCCGCCAAAUGCCUGGGCGUACGACAUGCGCGCAUCCAAUGUCCCUUUGCACCACAUCUGUGACAAGGGCUUUCAACAUUUCUAGGCACAUGGCUCAUCUGUGCCUUUCCCUUAUUACGGGAUGCAUUUUUGCCAUUCGUGGAUGGACCGCUCCUUGGACCUAAACCCUCUGAACGAGCACCACGAUUUUUUUUACUUCCUUGCCAGUGGCCACGCUUGCCCCCUCGCCCACGUUUGUGGAUACUACCACGAGAUGAAGUGGCAUUCACUUCCUGAGAUGCAGCAUUUAUUUCAGGAAGUGGUGCUGAGCCCGUUGGGCGAGAUUGGUGAUUCUUUAAUAAGAGCUCAUUAUUCUGCUCAGCUAACAAGAGGUAAGAUACAAGUUUCGAGUACUUCUUGAAACUGCUAUGUCUGUAUUGCUGUUGAAGGAGGACAUUUGAAGCAUGAAAAGUGCUCAGAGUUUUUUCGAGCAUAUCCUCCUCAGAUAUAUUUUCCCCACAUAGCCUCAUUAAUGAGGUAAUUCUGUGCAUAGCAGAGUUAUACUCGGACACUGACUUGAAAUCUUGAAAUCUCAAGUGGGUCCAUUCGUAUCUAGCUCUUAGGAGAGUCAUCGUCUUCUGGUGAUCGUAUCUUUCACCUAUAGCUUUCCACAGAACCAACGGUUCAUCAACCACCACAUAUUCGCUCUUCAACGCUUCAUGGAUGUGGCGGCGAAGAAAGAUCAUGGUCUUCGCAUUCUCUUCAGGCGAAGCAUCAUUCUCAUCUACAAUUGUUUGUCCGAGGCCAUUGGCUCGUAGAUGAAUUUUGGCAUCCAAGACCCAUGAUAAAUAGUUGUCCCCGGAAAGGCCCACGGCAGCAAACUCGAGUUUUGCCAAAUUUGCCAUCUAAAACUUUAGGCUCGAGAUCUGAAAUAUUAAGCCACUUAUUAAUAGGAAUUUCAGGCCCUCAUUAUUCAGGUAUAUUAAUUGAUGAUAAAUAAAGUGUUAUGAAUUUGCUGGUAUGGACGAUAAACCCGCACCAUACCUUAAAUGUGCGGUAAAUUAAAUUCAUAAAGUUAAGGUGCUUGUAUGGGCACUAAUUCUGCUCCAUACAUUUAAAUAAAAGUAAAGGCGUGGACGAUAAACCCGCACCACCCUUUAAAUAAAUAUUGCCGUAUGGGUAAUAAACCUACACCAUACCAUAAAUAAAAUAAAUGUGGGGAUAAAAACCUCCACCUAAUAUGAAGUGCAUAAUAUAUUAUAUAGUGUGGGCAAUAUAACUGCGCCACUAUUCAAGAUAUAAUAGAUGGGUUUUAAGAUCACACCAUCAUUUUAUUACAAUAAUUUGUAUUACAACGCGAUGGGUAAAAAAUUACACCACCAUAAAAUAACAGGACUGAUUAAACAACAUAGAAAUUACGUUACAAAGAAGUGAAUUAAACAAGCAUGGAUUAAACAACAUAGAAAUUGUGAGAACACAAAAAGGAAAGUUUGCAUGUCGUUGUAGUAGUAAAGUGAGAGUAGACAUAUGACAGAGAGGAGACAGAGAAGUAACUACAUAGUGUUGAGUUGGAAAAAUUUCAGAAAUAAAAGAAGAGACUAUCGUGCUGAUAACGUGUUAUAAAAUAACCUGGAAUAUAUGCGGAUAUUGAGCUGCACGUAAAAUAGAUGAGACACAGCUUUUAACGAGGUUCGGCUAUGCCUACGUCCUCGGAGAGCAGCAGCAGUAACCUUUCACUAUAAAAUGAUAUGGCUACAACUUUAGUGUUUACAACAUAUGUGGCUCACUGAAUUUUCUCUCUAGGAGAAUUUCUCUCUGCUUUCUCUUCUCUCUUUUCUUUUUCUUCUUUUCUUAUUUUUUCUUUCUCUGAUGGUGGUCUUAUUUAUAGGCUGAAAUAAUCACUAUUCACUAUUCACCCGUGACAGACAAACUCUACCAAAGUCUCCAAAUGAAUAGUAAUGUCACUAUUCACCCGUGACAGACAAACCCUACCAAAGUCUCCAAAUGAAUAGUAAUGAAUAGUUAGUGAGCUCCACACCAAGACUUUUACAACAUAAACAUUAAUAAGCAACACUGCUACAGAAGAUAUGCAUAGAAGUCCAGUUGAGUUACUAAACUUGAAAUAUAGAAUAAGAAAUCAUAUUCGCAGGCACCGAAAACAAACAGCUAACGUUGGGACAGGGAGAGAACGUACAUUGACCUCAUUAUCGACACAGUUUUCAGGUAUGCACGCCAGCAUCAAUGAAUUGUAGGGCAGCCUUCUGUACAUACAG
RNAcentral lists this long non-coding RNA (7317 nucleotides) under Prunus persica (peach). RNAcentral describes it as "long non-coding RNA (PPER_LNC002607)". The record is from RNAcentral. Lineage: Eukaryota; Viridiplantae; Streptophyta; Magnoliopsida; Rosales; Rosaceae.